UAGUAGUACGGAAUAAUUGUUGGAAACGGCAACUAAUACCGUAUAUGCCCUACGGGGGAAAAAUUUAUUGCUAUUAGAUGAGCCUAUAUUAGAUUAGCUAGUUGGUGGAGUAAUAGCCUACCAAUGCAAUGAUCUAUAGCUGAUCUGAGAGGAUGAUCAGCCACACUGGAACUGAGAUACGGUCCAGACUCCUACGGGAGGCAGCAGUGGGGAAUAUUGGACAAUGGGCGAAAGCCUGAUCCAGCCAUGCCGCAUGAGUGAAGAAGGCCUUUGGGUAGUAAAGCUCUUUUAGUGAGGAAGAUAAUGACGGUACUCACAGAAGAAGUCCUGGCUAACUCCGUGCCAGCAGCCGCGGUAAUACGGAGAGGGCUAGCGUUAUUCGGAAUUAUUGGGCGUAAAGGGCGCGUAGGCUGGUUAAUAAGUUAAAAGUGAAAUCCCGAGGCUUAACCUUGGAAUUGCUUUUAAAACUAUUAAUCUAGAGAUUGAAAGAGGAUAGAGGAAUUCCUGAUGAAGAGGUAAAAUUCGUAAAUAUUAGGAGGAACACCAGUGGCGAAGGCGUCUAUCUGGUUCAAAUCUGACGCUGAAGCGCGAAGGCGUGGGGAGCAAACAGGAUUAGAUACCCUGGUAGUCCACGCUGUAAAC
This 642-nucleotide ribosomal RNA is filed under the name Wolbachia endosymbiont of Balloniscus sellowii. Its description in RNAcentral is "bacterial SSU rRNA". It matches the Rfam family "Bacterial small subunit ribosomal RNA", at positions 131 to 807 of the family's 1533-position model. The record is from RNAcentral. Lineage: Bacteria; Pseudomonadati; Pseudomonadota; Alphaproteobacteria; Rickettsiales; Anaplasmataceae.